CGGAGGAUGCAAGCGUUAUCCGGAUUCAUUGGGUUUAAAGGGUGCGUAGGCGGCUUUUUAAGUCAGUGGUGAAAUCCUGCCGCUUAACGGUAGAAUUGCCAUUGAUACUGAAGAGCUUGAGUACAGUUGAGGUAAGCGGAAUGUGUAGUGUAGCGGUGAAAUGCUUAGAUAUUACACAGAACACCAAUUGCGAAGGCAGCUUACUAAACUGUCACUGACGCUGAUGCACGAAAGCGUGGGGAGCGAACAGGAUUAGAUACCCUGGUAGUCCACGCCGUAAACGAUGAUCACUCGCUGUAUGCGAUACACAGUAUGCGGCCAAGCGAAAGCAUUAAGUGAUCCACCUGGGGGAUACGAUCGCAAGGUUG
RNAcentral lists this ribosomal RNA (368 nucleotides) under uncultured organism. RNAcentral describes it as "bacterial SSU rRNA". It matches the Rfam family "Bacterial small subunit ribosomal RNA", at positions 526 to 896 of the family's 1533-position model. The record is from RNAcentral.